AGAGUUUGAUCAUGGCUCAGAACGAACGCUGGCGGCGUGCCUAACACAUGCAAGUCGAACGAGGUCGCAAGACCUAGUGGCGGACGGGUGAGUAUAACAUAGGUAAUCUGCCCUCUGGUGGGGGAUACCCAGCCGAAAGGUUGGCUAAUACCGCAUAAGAUCGUUGGGUGAAAUCCCCGAUGAUGAAAGGUUUACUGCCAGAGGAUGAGCCUGUGGUCGAUUAGCUUGUUGGUGGGGUAAUGGCCUACCAAGGCGACGAUCGAUAGCUGGUCUGAGAGGACGAUCAGCCACACUGGGACUGAGACACGGCCCAGACUCCUACGGGAGGCAGCAGUGGGGAAUUUUCCGCAAUGGGCGAAAGCCUGACGGAGCGACGCCGCGUGGAGGAUGAAGGUCUUCGGAUUGUAAACUCCUUUCGGCAGGGACGAUAAUGACGGUACCUGCAAAAGAAGCAUCGGCUAACUACGUGCCAGCAGCCGCGGUAAGACGUAGGAUGCGAGCGUUGUUCGGAUUUAUUGGGCGUAAAGCGUACGUAGGCGGUUUUGCAAGUGGGAGGUUAAAGACCAGAGCUCAACUCUGGGAGUGCCCCCCAAACUGCGAGACUAGAGGACCAUAGGGGAAGGUGGAAUUCCGAGUGUAGCGGUGAAAUGCGUAGAUAUUCGGAGGAACACCGGUGGCGAAAGCGACCUUCUGGGUGGUAUCUGACGCUGAGGUACGAAAGCGUGGGGAGCAAACAGGAUUAGAUACCCUAGUAGUCC
RNAcentral lists this ribosomal RNA (758 nucleotides) under uncultured bacterium. Its description in RNAcentral is "bacterial SSU rRNA". It matches the Rfam family "Bacterial small subunit ribosomal RNA", at positions 8 to 796 of the family's 1533-position model. The record is from RNAcentral.